RNAcentral lists this ribosomal RNA (255 nucleotides) under uncultured bacterium. RNAcentral's name for it is "partial 16S ribosomal RNA". It matches the Rfam family "Bacterial small subunit ribosomal RNA", at positions 524 to 776 of the family's 1533-position model. The record is from RNAcentral.
UACAGAGGGUGCGAGCGUUGUUCGGAAUUACUGGGCGUAAAGCGCGCGCAGGCGGCCCUUUAAGUCCGUCGGUCAAAUGCCGGGGCUCAACCCCGAUGCAUGCCGAGGAUACUGGAGGGCUGGAGACACGUAGAGGCAAGCGGAAUUCCGGGUGUAGCGGUGGAAUGCGUAGAGAUCCGGAAGAACACCGGAGGCGAAGGCGGCUUGCUGGGCGUGAUCUGACGCUGAGGCGCGAAAGCUAGGGGAGCGAACGGG